CAGAAGGAGGAGGAGGGGAGGAACAAACAGGUAUCAACAAGUCAGUGUCAAAGAAGGAAGGCUCAAAAAGAGGAACUGAGGGAAAGGAAGAAGGAGCAGGAGAUGAAACAUUCUUAAAAGGAAAAUAGGUUUCAUGAAAUAUAACAUCCCUGGAGACAAAGUAUUUCUUUGAAGUAAGGUCAUAAAGCGUAUAACCCUUUUUUGGCAAAAGGAUACCCAAUGAAGACACAGGAAAGGGCUAUAGGUUUCAAUUUGUCCCUUUGAGGAAUUGAAAACAGUAGCAUAGGCAAGGCACCCAAAUGCUCUCAAAUGAGAGUAGGUUGGUGCCUUUCCA
This 334-nucleotide long non-coding RNA is filed under the name Nicotiana benthamiana. RNAcentral describes it as "long non-coding RNA (NBEN_LNC035549)". The record is from RNAcentral. Lineage: Eukaryota; Viridiplantae; Streptophyta; Magnoliopsida; Solanales; Solanaceae.